This 525-nucleotide ribosomal RNA is filed under the name uncultured Gammaproteobacteria bacterium. Its description in RNAcentral is "bacterial SSU rRNA". It matches the Rfam family "Bacterial small subunit ribosomal RNA", at positions 74 to 594 of the family's 1533-position model. Lineage: Bacteria; Pseudomonadati; Pseudomonadota; Gammaproteobacteria. The record is from RNAcentral.
GUAUCUUCGGAUAUGAGUAGAGCGGCGGACGGGUGAGUAACGCGUAGGAAUCUACCUAGUAGAAGGGGAUAGCCCGGGGAAACUCGGAUUAAUACCGUAUACCUCCUUUGGGAGAAAGAAGGCCUCUCUUUGAAGCUUUCGCUAUUAGAUGAGCCUGCGUAAGAUUAGCUUGUUGGUGAGGUAAAGGCUCACCAAGGCGACGGUCUUUAGCGGGCCUGAGAGGACGAUCCGCCACAUUGGGACUGAGACACGGCCCAGACUCCUACGGGAGGCAGCAGUGGGGAAUAUUGUACAAUGGGCGCAAGCCUGAUCCAGCCAUACCGCGUGUGUGAAGAAGGCCCUAGGGUUGUAAAGCACUUUAAGUUGGGAAGAAAAGUUAUUGGUUAAUACCCAAUGACCGUGACAUUACCUUCAGAAUAAGGACCGGCUAAUUCCGUGCCAGCAGCCGCGGUAAUACGGAAGGUCCAAGCGUUAAUCGGAAUUACUGGGCGUAAAGCGCGCGUAGGUGGUUUAUUAAGUUGGAUG